GACGAACGCUGGCGGCGUGCUUAACACAUGCAAGUCGAACGGAAAGGCCCUGCUUUUGUGGGGUGCUCGAGUGGCGAACGGGUGAGUAACACGUGAGUAACCUGCCCUUGACUUUGGGAUAACUUCAGGAAACUGGGGCUAAUACCGGAUAGGAGCUCCUGCUGCAUGGUGGGGGUUGGAAAGUUUCGGCGGUUGGGGAUGGACUCGCGGCUUAUCAGCUUGUUGGUGGGGUAGUGGCUUACCAAGGCUUUGACGGGUAGCCGGCCGGAGGGGGUGACCGGGCCACGGGGGGGCGGCAUGAGGCCAUGUGCUCGGAGGGGGGCGGGGGGUGGAAAAUUGGCAAGAAGGGGGGGACGCUUGCGGGACGACUGCCGGGGGUGGUAGGUUGGGUUUCGGGUGUCAUCCCGUUUGGGAGUGUGAGGAAGAGGGAUGCAGGGGAAUGGGAAAGAAACCACCGGCAAACUAAGUGCCAGGAGCGGAGUUAAUAGUCGGAAGGGCGGGGUCUGAUC
This 509-nucleotide ribosomal RNA is filed under the name uncultured bacterium. Its description in RNAcentral is "partial 16S ribosomal RNA". The stretch from base 20 to 329 matches the Rfam family "Bacterial small subunit ribosomal RNA", at positions 47 to 358 of the family's 1533-position model. The record is from RNAcentral.